Molecule: transfer RNA, 54 nt
Filed under: Liposcelis bostrychophila
Lineage: Eukaryota; Metazoa; Arthropoda; Insecta; Psocodea; Liposcelididae
Description: tRNA-Glu
Source: RNAcentral
UAUAAUCUUAGACAAAUUUUCUCUUUAUUUUCGUUGGGAUAUUUUUCUAAUCUG